UGGUCUUGACAUCCCUCUGACCGCUCUUUAUCGGAGCUUUCCUUCGGGACAGAGGAGACAGGUGGUGCAUGGUUGUCGUCAGCUCGUGUCGUGAGAUGUUGGGUUAAAUCCCGCAACGAGCGCAACCCCUAUCUUUAGUAGCCAGCGUUUCGGAUGGGCACUCUAGAGAGACUGCCAGGGAUAACCUGGAGGAAGGUGGGGAUGACNUCAAAUCAUCAUGCCCCUUAUGACCAGGGCUACACACGUGCUACAAUGGCGUAAACAAAGGGAAGCGAACCUGCGAGGGGGAGCAAAUCCCAAAAAUAACGUCUCAGUUCGGAUUGUAGUCUGCAACUCGACUACAUGAAGCUGGAAUCGCUAGUAAUCGCGAAUCAGAAUGUCGCGGUGAAUACGUUCCCGGGUCUUGUACACACCG
Molecule: ribosomal RNA, 415 nt
Filed under: uncultured bacterium
Lineage: Bacteria
Description: bacterial SSU rRNA
Rfam family: Bacterial small subunit ribosomal RNA
Source: RNAcentral